This 446-nucleotide ribosomal RNA is filed under the name uncultured bacterium. Its description in RNAcentral is "bacterial SSU rRNA". It matches the Rfam family "Bacterial small subunit ribosomal RNA", at positions 29 to 523 of the family's 1533-position model. The record is from RNAcentral.
AACGAACGCUGGCGGCAGGCUUAACACAUGCAAGUCGAACGCCCCGCAAGGGGAGUGGCAGACGGGUGAGUAACGCGUGGGAAUGUGCCCAAAGGUUCGGAACAACUCCGGGAAACUGGAGCUAAUACCGAAUGUGACCGAGAGGUGAAAGAUUUAUCGCCUUUGGAUCAGCCCGCGUCAGAUUAGCUAGUUGGUGGGGUAAUGGCCUACCAAGGCGACGAUCUGUAGCUGGUCUGAGAGGACGACCAGCCACACUGGGACUGAGACACGGCCCAGACUCCUACGGGAGGCAGCAGUGGGGAAUCUUGGACAAUGGGCGAAAGCCUGAUCCAGCCAUGCCGCGUGGAUGAUGAAGGCCUUAGGGUUGUAAAAUCCUUUCGUCGGGACGAUAGUGACGGUACCCGAAGAAGAAGCUCCGGCUAACUUCGUGCCAGCCGCCGCAGUAA